Molecule: ribosomal RNA, 253 nt
Filed under: uncultured bacterium
Lineage: Bacteria
Description: partial 16S ribosomal RNA
Rfam family: Bacterial small subunit ribosomal RNA
Source: RNAcentral
GACAGAGGAUGCAAGCGUUAUCCGGAAUCAUUGGGUUUAAAGGGUCCGUAGGCGGUUUGGUAAGUCAGUGGUGAAAGCCCAUCGCUCAACGGUGGAACGGCCAUUGAUACUGCCAGACUUGAAUUAUUAGGAAGUAACUAGAAUAUGUAGUGUAGCGGUGAAAUGCUUAGAGAUUACAUGGAAUACCAAUUGCGAAGGCAGGUUACUACUAAUUGAUUGACGCUGAUGGACGAAAGCGUGGGUAGCGAACAGG